GCAUUGGCCACUUUACAUCCAAAAUUUUACUUGUCUACAACAGCGACAGAAAUUGUAUUAAUACUGUGCGAUAAAUUAAAAAAAUAAUAGAGUAGGCCUGGUCUUCUCGGUAUACGGAUUGACCCGCUUCCAGUAAUAAGUACUACGAUGAUUAAAAGAUGCCAAUAAAAAAUAAUGAAUUUUUUUGAACCUGAUAAUUGGAGACAAUAGACACCGAAGGCAGCUUUUCUAAUUGGAUUUCACCAAUCAGUUCUGAUAUGUCGUCAAGAAGAUAUCACGAGAUCCCCCGAUAAAGCGACGUGAGAGGAAGGAGAAUGAAUUUUCAACGAUGUUAACUCUUCUGUCUCUUCCAUAAUUGAUCUAGCGAUGUCUAAAUGAAAUUAUUUCGUCGAUUAAUUAUUACAAGAUCAAGGGUAGUUAAAUAAAUAAAUUAAUGAAUUAUCA
Long non-coding RNA from Osmia bicornis bicornis, 444 nucleotides. RefSeq lists it as uncharacterized. The transcript has 3 exons. NCBI's taxonomy places the organism in Eukaryota, Metazoa, Arthropoda, Insecta, Hymenoptera, Megachilidae. The record is from RefSeq and is a predicted model, not a curated record.